CAAACGGGUGCGGAACACGUACAGAACCUUCCUUUAAGCGGGGGAUAGCCCGGAGAAAUCCGGAUUAAUACCCCAUAGUAAUGUUGAGUGGCAUCACUUGAUGUUUAAAGAUUUAUCACUUAGAGAUGGCUGUGCGGCUGAUUAGGUAGUUGGUGUGGGUAAAGGCCCACCAAGCCGGCGAUCAGUAACUGGUGUGAGAGCACGACCAGUCACACGGGCACUGAGACACGGGCCCG
This 236-nucleotide ribosomal RNA is filed under the name uncultured bacterium. RNAcentral's name for it is "partial 16S ribosomal RNA". It matches the Rfam family "Bacterial small subunit ribosomal RNA", at positions 99 to 334 of the family's 1533-position model. The record is from RNAcentral.